Molecule: ribosomal RNA, 254 nt
Filed under: uncultured bacterium
Lineage: Bacteria
Description: partial 16S ribosomal RNA
Rfam family: Bacterial small subunit ribosomal RNA
Source: RNAcentral
CACGUAGGGGGCGAGCGUUGUCCGGAAUCAUUGGGCGUAAAGAGCUCGUAGGCGGCUCGGUAAGUCGGGGGUGAAACCCCCAGGCUCAACCUGGGGACGCCACCCGAUACUGCUGUGGCUAGAGUCCAGUAGGGGAGUGUGGAAUUCCCGGUGUAGCGGUGAAAUGCGCAGAUAUCGGGAGGAACACCAGCGGCGAAGGCGGCACUCUGGGCUGGAACUGACGCUGAGGAGCGAAAGCGUGGGUAGCAAACAGG